This 202-nucleotide long non-coding RNA is filed under the name Gallus gallus (chicken). Lineage: Eukaryota; Metazoa; Chordata; Aves; Galliformes; Phasianidae. The record is from RNAcentral.
UUGAGGUUGGAUGUGAGGGGGAAGUUGUUUGCUAUGAGAGUGGGGAGGUGCUGGAACAGCUGCCCAGAGAGGCUGUGGAUGCCCCGUCCAUCCGUGGAGGUGUUGAAGGCCAGGUUGGAUGGGGCCCUGGGCAGCCUGGGCUGGUCUGAAAUGGGGAGGUUGGUGGCCCUGCCUGUGGUGGGGGGUUGGAGCUCCAUGAUCC